UGCCAGCCGCCGCGGUAAUACGGAGGGAGCGAGCGUUAAUCGGAAUUACUGGGCGUAAAGCGCGCGUAGGCGGCUUUGUAAGCGAGGGAUGAAAUCCCAUGGCUCAACCGGGGAACUGCGGUGCAAACCACCAGUCUUGAGGUAUGUAGAGGCUGUCGGAACGUUCGGUGGAGCGGUGAAAUGCGUAGAUAUCGAGCGGAACGCCAAAGGUGAAGACAGGCAGCUGGGCAUUACCUGACGCUCAGGCACGAAAGCGUGGGGAUCACACAGGAUUAGAUA
This 279-nucleotide ribosomal RNA is filed under the name uncultured bacterium. RNAcentral's name for it is "partial 16S ribosomal RNA". It matches the Rfam family "Bacterial small subunit ribosomal RNA", at positions 506 to 784 of the family's 1533-position model. The record is from RNAcentral.